UCAAGAUCACAUGUGGUUGAGCUGUAUAUACGUUGGAUGUUUCUUAUAGUGUGGUUGAACUGUAUGUGUCGGUUGAGUGAGUGUACGUGCAGUUGGGCUGUGUGCGAAGUGAGAUUGCACGUGAAAAGCAGGCAGUUUCUGCGACUUAGUCAUAAAAGUGGACGGUUUGAUGUGACGGGUGCAGUCGUGAUAUGAUAGAGCGGAGCGACGGUGUGAAAGCUGAGCCAGGAAAAUUAUCAUGGCUGUCGGGGCCGUAUUGGCUUGACGGCCUGUGUGCUGGCUAGUUGAGUGUGGCGGGUCAACACCAAGUAUGCUGACCAGCGAAGUGAUGCCUCUCACCAGUGUUGUGACCGGACGUUGUCCAGUGCCAAGUAUGGAGGGCAGGGUAGCCUCAAGGUAUUGCCGGUUGAGUGUGGCGGGUCAACUCCAAGUAUGCUGACCAGCUAAGCGAUGCCUCUCACCAGUGCCUCUCACCAGUGUUGUGACCGGACGUUGUCCAGUGACAAGUAUGGAGGGCAGGGUAGCCUCAGGGUAUCGUCAGACAGGGUGUGACCGUGUUCGUGAGGACGUGAACUGUACAUACCAUUAAUCUGUGCAACCUCCUGUAUAGGAGCCGAUCGUCAAAUAGAUAUGGACUGGAAUAUUACAUUUUGUAAAUGUUUCAUUUGUAUGCCUAUAUUUGAUUUGUGUAUUGUGUAUAGGAGUAUGAGUGUAUUGGGUACCGCUGGUGUAAUGGAGUACUGAGUGUGUAUUUGAGUGAUGUACUGAAGGUGUAUUUGAGUGAUAUAUGACUGAGAUGUUUGGAUGAAUGUAUUUGAGGUGAGAAAGGGGUGUGCAAGCUGAAUAUUUGAACUUUUCUUGAUUUUCCAUUUCAUUUUGUUUUGAAAUAAAUUAUAUUUAUUUCAA
This 906-nucleotide long non-coding RNA is filed under the name Haliotis rubra (blacklip abalone). Its description in RNAcentral is "uncharacterized LOC124283618". The record is from RNAcentral. Lineage: Eukaryota; Metazoa; Mollusca; Gastropoda; Lepetellida; Haliotidae.